CCACUGGCCAAUCGGCCCAAUCUAUAUCGCCACUUUAUGAAAAAAAAUCGCCCCACUCUUUUUUACCGACUCGCCCCACUUUUGAAAAAGUGUAAAAUCAAACUGAACAAUCACUGACAACUCACUUAUUAUCGAAAAGGGUUUAAACCCCACUGAAUAAAGGUCUGCCAACUCGCCCCACUUAUAAAAAUAUCUUGCUUCCUUUAAGUAUGUUAAAUUACGGACAGUUUGUAUCCAGUCGUCCUGGUGUAGUGGUUGUGUCGUGGCUUGAUAUGCUAAAGGUCUU
RNAcentral lists this long non-coding RNA (286 nucleotides) under Mytilus galloprovincialis (Mediterranean mussel). The record is from RNAcentral. Lineage: Eukaryota; Metazoa; Mollusca; Bivalvia; Mytilida; Mytilidae.